RNAcentral lists this ribosomal RNA (253 nucleotides) under uncultured bacterium. RNAcentral describes it as "partial 16S ribosomal RNA". It matches the Rfam family "Bacterial small subunit ribosomal RNA", at positions 524 to 776 of the family's 1533-position model. The record is from RNAcentral.
UACGUAGGUGGCAAGCGUUGUCCGGAAUUAUUGGGCGUAAAGCGCGCGCAGGCGGUCCUUUAAGUCUGAUGUGAAAGCCCACGGCUCAACCGUGGAGGGUCAUUGGAAACUGGGGGACUUGAGUACCGGAGAGGGUCGCGGAAUUCCCGGUGUAGAGGUGAAAUUCGUAGAUAUCGGGAGGAACACCAGUGGCGAAGGCGGCCUUCUGGACAGUGACUGACGCUGAGACGCGAAAGCGUGGGGAGCAAACAGG